Long non-coding RNA from Gallus gallus (chicken), 5379 nucleotides. Lineage: Eukaryota; Metazoa; Chordata; Aves; Galliformes; Phasianidae. The record is from Ensembl.
CGGGAGCAUCCCCAGGCUGGGGGGGGACACACCAUAAGGGUAGGGAAAGGCAUCGCCUCCCAGCAAGUAGCCCUUCUCCCUGCUGGUCUUUGCUUUGCUCCUCGCCUGGCAACGCGGUGACACGAUGGAGGUGACAAGCAGGGUGUUUCUGCUGAAUCAAUCUCUUCUCUUUGUUUUUUUCUUGCAGGAGGGAAAAGCUGCUGCAAAACUUGCAAGCCUUAGCUUGGAUCCCAUCGUGCUGCUCACAGACAGCUGAUGCGCAGCGCUCGGUAAGCUGGCCGCUCCCUCUGCUCCCUGCUUCCCUGAGAGCUGCCACCCAAACUAAGCUGCUUAGUGCAUAUGGCAUAAUCCAUCCUCCAGCUUGUGGCAGGAGCAGCGGUGGGAGCUAAUUAGCGUGCACUAAUAGGCGUGCUAACAACAUCUUGCUGCUACAGCAUCGUGGCCGUCGCCGGAGAUUUGCGCACUGAAUUUUUUGCAAUUAGCACCAUGAAAUGUUGGCUGCCAAUGGGGACCUGUCCUUCAGUGGCUGGGGGGCACAUGCAUCAGGGUGAAGCUCUGGGACCUCAGCCUGCUUCAGGAGGCUGCAACGAAAUUGUCUUGGGUGUAACCGACUCGUCAUGGGCAUGGCCCAAAGAGUUCCUCCAGGAAGGCAAAGGAGCAUUGGAAAGAGGGCUACUGAGACCCAGAUCCCUCUCUCAUGUUAUGCUGUGUUGAAGCCUCUAGGACAACAUUUUGGCCUGGAUUCAGGAAGCCUGUUAAGGAUUUCAGCCCGGAGAGGUUGGAGGCCGGGAUGGGCGAGAUGGAGCUGGGCUGGGAACAGCCGUGUGGUGAGGUUGCAGGAGGCUGCAGGACCUUCCCAGCAGGACAACCUCUGUGUCUGUCCGGCCCUCCAUCCAGCCCUGCUGUGUCCCGAGGGCUGCAGGAGACAUGAGCUCACUGCUGAGACGUGCCAAACCAAGCCCGCCGGGCGAGGCUGCUCCCAGCUCCACGCUGACAUCUGCCAGAGAUUUCCAGCACUGCUGUCUCGCUGCUUCUCUGCAGAACGCAGCCCCUGAGCGUCCCAACAUCCUGCUCCUCCUCUGGGCCAGAGGCAUCCACAUCUACAUCCCCAUUGCUAUCCCAAUCCACAUCCCCAUCCCCACCUGCAUCCCCAUCCCCGCCCACAUCAGCAUCCUAACACCUGAACUGGUUGCCAUAGAAACCACAGGUCUGUCUGUCUGCCCGUGCCAGGGGUCAAUGCGCUGCUCCCCCUGGCACAGCUAUUUGUGGUCCACAGACAGGGAAACAGGGGCACGCUGGAGGCAUGGAGCAUCCACACAAGGAGGACGGUGCAUCCUGGGAGUGAAUGGGAAAGUGUAGCUCUGCCAGAAGUUAUAGCAUUUGGGACAUCAACGUGAGCAGAGGGCGAAAGCUGGAAAUCAUUACAUGGCACAACAGAAGGCAAAACAUUCACCUGGAGAAGGCAAUUAGCUCAGCAGGUCUUUUAGUGUCAUUAAGGGAUUAUUGUCCUGUUAUUACAUGUCCCAUCAUUAAGGGAUUAUUGUCUCAGUGGUUCCUUGACCUCCUGGGCAUGGCUGGAUGGUGUCACAUCAGACCCCAUAGAAGGUGUUGUUAGGGUGGGUGGGGUAGUGUGAGUUGUCCUCUCUUUCAGAGACCACCAGCAAGGCAAAUUGUUGCGUUAGGGAUGUGACCAAUUGGUUUGGAGGUGUCCAAGGCCAAGUUGAAUGGGAAACCUCAUCCAGUGCUUGAUCAAGCAGUCUGCAACCCUGCCUACGGCAUGGAGAUUGGAAGUGGACAGUCUCUGGGGUCCCUUCCAACACAAGCCAUUCUAUGAUUUCUUGCCCACGUGGUCCUAUGGGCAUCCCAGUGACCAUAUAUAGCCAACUCUCUGCUCUCCACCUCCUAUAAAAGAUGCUGGCUGCUGGUUUCCGUGCUGCCAGCCGUCCCGGAGCUGUGCGUUCUGCAUUUCCCUUUUAGGAAGCAAGAUUCUUGGACAUAGGGCAGUAAAAAGAAAACAUCUCUCAGCUCUUAUUUAUCACCUCUCCUUAUAACUGACCACUCUCUAAAUAGAGGGACCGCUUGCAGCCCAGGAGUGCAGCACAACGGAGCCAGAGGUGCCUUUGGCCCCUGCUGUCCUGGAUGGACUUCCAUGCAGAUCUCCCCACCUCGCUGCUAUUUAUGGGGUCAGCUCCAGGCAAGGAACCCAGCUGAAGUCCUGGUGCUUACUGCUCACCGGCCAAGCCAAACAGCGGAGUGAUGCAAUAUUGCACAAACUUUCCAGCCAGGGAAAUUAAUCUUUGCAAUAGAGGAAAAAAAAAAAAAAAAAAAAAAAAAGCAGUGAGCACAGAAGACAGCUCAGGGCGUCUGUCUUGGAGGGGAUGUCUGUUAAAUGGGCUCAGCACAUGCUGUUCUGGCUGCUUCCGCUGAACUCUGCUGCUGGCGAGGUCAGUGUUGCUGUGGGUUUGCUCAAGUCCUGGGGCUUCUCCCUGAGCUGCUGGAGCUCAGGGAGCGUUGGGACGUUGCUCUCAGCCAUAGGGUUUGGGUGGUAUUGUGUGGAGCCAGGGGUUGGACUCUGAUCCUCGCGGGUCCCUUCCAAUUUGGGAUAUUCUGCAGCUGUGUGCUUGUAUCAUUCUAUGAUUCUAAGGUAGAGGUGGGAUCUUCAGGUGGAAGAGUCCUUUUUGGACGAUCAUGUGCUGCAAUUUUGGGAUCCAUGUAAACUCCUUUUGUACUGCAGCAGUGAUUCCUCAGCUUAACCUCAGUGCACGUGAUGAGGAUCCGCUCCCUUUUCAGCCUGGACUUGCUGAGGCGUUGGGUUCCUAGCCACGGGCGUCUCAAUGGAUGGGCAGCAUACUGAAGAGAUGUCCCUCUGCAGGUUGGAUGGGACCCUGUGCAACCUGAUGUGGUGUCUGACAGCCCUGCCUGCAGCAGGAGGUUGGAGCUCAAUGAUCUUCAAGGUCCCUUCCAACCCAAGCCAUUCUACGACUCCCAACCAAACCAUUCUACGACUACGAUUCCAACCGCUCCUAAUUUUGCAGCUCCGUUCAAGCCCCGCUCUGCCAUCACUCUAACAGGAGCCGUCACCUAUCUUUAAACCUUCUCUCACCCUUCUCUGCAUCUUCCCCCAGAUCCUCAAUGGGCGGUGAUAAGAGCGGACUGAAAGACCACUCGUGCGUUAUCGGCACUUUGGAAAACCCCGGGCAGCUCACGUGGCUGCCGGCUGACGCUUCAGUGCCUCUCUGAUCCCUUACGUAACCAGUGGCACUGUUUGUUUUUCCUUGCUGACUUUUUUUGUGUGUGUGUGUGUGUGACUCCCACGUUCACUGCUCUUAAAGCCGCUUAUAAUCACUCUAAAGCCCCAGCUUAGCCAGGCACCGCUCUGGGUCCUGAGCGGCUUGCUGAGCUGCCUCCUUCGUUCCCUUGCAUGAAGGUUUCUUUCCCUUUUGCUGGUUCCAGGUUCAACAUUUUUAUGGCUUCUCCCCUGCACAGCAGUUCUGAUUUGGGAUCCGCUGCUCAUGGGAUGGCCCAAAGCCUCUUGAGUGGGUUGGCCAACGUCUUGCUCAUCUCCUGGUGGGGCGAUUGACUUAUUACGUGGUCUGACAGUGAUAGGACAAAGGGAAAUGGCUCUAAGCUAAAAGAGAGGAGAUUUAGAUUAGACGCUAUGAAGAAAUUCUUUACUCAGAGGGCGGUGAGGCCCUGGCACUGCUGAUCAGAUAGCUGUGGGUGCCCCAUCCCUGGAGGUGCUCAAGGUCUCGUUAGAUAGGGCCCUGGGCAGCCUGAGCUGGUGGGAGACAACCAGCCCACCCAUCUUCAUAGUGUUAUUUUGAUAAGGAAUAGCCUAUGCUGUUCUUGUUUUGUACAGUGUUGUUCUCUAAAACCUCCGUUGCAUUCUGUAUGUACGUACACAUUCAACAGAUGCACACAUCUGCCAUCAGAUUUCCUGCUGAAAUACCCCCAGCUAAAAUCCCAGCUAUUUCUCAGUCUGAUUUCACUCUUGCUAAGCCAGAUUAGGAGUUUUUGGGUCUUGCUGAAACUUCUGCGCUUCGCAGGAUGAAUUCUUAUCCCUGGCAGAAGGCUGCCCUGCUCUCUGUGUUGAUUCUGGCGUCUGCACUGGAAAGCAAACAAAGUAACUCAAGUUGGGUAUUAGGAAAAUGUCUUCCAUGGAAGAGUGAUCAGGCAUUGGAACAGCCUGCCCAGGGCAGCGGUGGAGUCACUGUCCAUGGAGGUUUUCUAGGAAAGGGUAGAUGGAACUUAGGGACAUGGUUGGUGGGUAUGGUGGUGGUUGGUUGACGGUUGGACUUGAUGAUCUUCGUGGCCUUUUCCAGCCUCAGUGAUUCUAUGAACUUCCAUCAGCCCCGAGGCAAAAGUAGUGCCUGGGUUUUGCGUUCCCUCCAGAAGAGCCCAACCUCUUUGUUUCAGGGAAAACACAUCUGGGAUCCAACAGCAGCCAUUGUUCUCCGGUGAGUAAGGACCAACACGGUUAAUGGCAGCUGAGGUGUUCUCGCAGUGCCCUGCUGCUCCUAAACAUCUCCAGCAGCACUGAUUGGAGGAGCCAUCCAAAAUUUAAUUGUUUUCUCAUUGAUUGGUGGUAAGGACAGGCUGGUAAGCCUCUGUGCAGCCUCCAGGUGGAUCAGGUUGAUGCCCACAUCUGGAAACACUGUGCCACAAGCUACCCAAGUCUUUCCCUAUAUAGUUCAACAAAGCACGAGGUGAAACAAGGGAAGCUUUUUUUCCCCAGACCACUCUCACAGUGGUGGCUCCACGGGCUCAUCUUGGAGGUCAGCUUUCCCCUUUGUGAUGCUAAACAACUAGGAAGGAAUAAUCAAAUUACAUCCGCACAAUUACGUGAAUGAGGGCAUCAAGCAUCCCAUAGAGAGUUGUCCCUUGCUGCUUUGCAAAGGCCAUCACGUUCAUUCGGGCUGGCAAAUCUCCUCUCUGGGUUUCAGACAAAGCCGUAUGAGGACUGGUGAUGCACUGGCACAGGUUGCCCAGAGGGGUGGUGGUGCCCCAUCCGUGGAGACCUUCAGGUCAGGCUGGAAGGGGCUCUGAGCACUGAUGGAGCUGUGGGUGUCCCUGUGCAUUGCAGGGAGUGGGACCAGAUGGCCUUUAAGGGUCCCUUCCAACUCAUCAAUUAUAUGAUUCUAUGACUUUUGGGACAUGAGAUGGGGUGCUCCUUCCCAUGCUAUCCUGAGGAGCACAUCUCCCCAGUACCACUGCAGCUGAACACGCAUAGAGCAACAAGAAGGAAACAGAUGCUUCCCUGCUGGAUGAAUCAGCAGCACAUCUGGGCUCUGAUGAGGCUGCACUGUAAGAUUUUCCCCUCUAUCCCAUGCCGGUGGGAAGGCAGUGGGCCAGCCUUGCUGCUUGGCUGGGGAGCAGGAG